This is a long non-coding RNA of Passer montanus (Eurasian tree sparrow), 1445 nucleotides long. RefSeq lists it as uncharacterized. The transcript is spliced from 3 exons. The record is from RefSeq and is a predicted model, not a curated record. NCBI's taxonomy places the organism in Eukaryota, Metazoa, Chordata, Aves, Passeriformes, Passeridae.
CAGCAAUGGGACAGCUGCUACCUCCAGACACAGGAGAAAGGGGUUCUGCAGCUGGCUAGAAAACCCCCAUAAAGCCCUCAGGCCAGCAGGGACACUGCAGGCAGUGGCUGGCCAAGCUGUGGAGGCAGGGGAGGUACAGCUGCCCCUGCCCAGGCACAGCAAGGGCUGAGCCUCACCCCGGGGCACGGCUGGCGAGUACCAGGUGAGGUGCAAGAAAAGGGAGUGGGAUGGAGAGUCCUGGGCAGCACUGUGCAUCUCCCUUAGAGGAAUCAGCAGCAAGUGCUCCUCGGAACAGACUCAAAGCUGAAGGACAGAGAAGGAACCAAGCCUGUUCCUCCGUGUGUCAAGUGAGUGGUCAGACGUGUUUUGCUGGAAUAACAGCAAAUGGAAUUUAUAUUUUUCAAUAAAAAGCAGAGGCUGACAACUCGUAGAUUUCUGUCAUGCACUGCAAUGCAUCUAAGGCCUGACAUUAGCCCAGCAUGCCAUGUCUGAUGGCUUAAAUUAAUCCUCCUUUAUAAUUAACUUUAAUUUCCUGCUGCCUUUCUGGGGCUUUGUGUCUCUCAGCUUCCUCCUCAUCAAAGCCUUUACUCCAUUUUUUUUAUUAUUUUUUCUUGCCAAAAUAUCAUUUAAGUGGGGGGGAUAUACAAGAGUGUUUCAUUCCAUCACAUUCAUUUGACUUUUCCUGCUGAUCUAAUUUACGAAAAUGCUGUUUGUUUCAGGCACAACUGGGAAAAUAGCAAGAUCCCAACAGAAAUUUCCAACCCCAAACACCCUUUCCUUAGAGCAAAUGGGACUCACAGGAGAUUUCAAUUGAUUAAUUUAAAAAAAAAAGCUUGUAACUCAGCUGCUUGUAACUUCCCUCUCAUAAAGAGCUGCAGGAGCCCAGCAUGGUCAGGUGAGUGUUGUGGGCUGAGGCUGUGAGGACUCUCCUGCAAUGCUUGCACCAAGCAGCUUUAAGGGGCAGCUCGUGCAAAAGGUGUUUUAAGUUUAUUGCAGGCUCCUCCAGCGGGACUGAGCAACCCUUCAGCUCCUGUGACUGUGCUAUAUUUAACAGGACUCUUUGGCCAAAGCUGAGCCAGAGGAGCUGCUGGCAACAGAACUCGUGUGAAUUUAAGGGAGCUUCCUCAACCGUGGCACUGCUGGGAGCUGGCCAGACAGCACAUUUCACGUGCACCAACAGGUACUGCAAAGUGUGCGAAAUCCUGCCUUGGCUGUAAAUGCUCCGCUGCCACUCACCCUCAGCAUGGACAGAAAUAUCAAUAUUGCAUUUCUCUGGCCACACAGCAACAGUGCAGGUGCACACACCAGCCCCUAUGGGCAAGUGAAGGGGUCCCAAAGCAGCUGCUGAGGCAGCAGCACUCAGCCCCACACGGGCAGCCCUUGGGGCUCACACAGUUCAGCCCAUGGGAAGUGCACCACACUGACUGAGAUGAUGUGCAUGCAAG